This is a long non-coding RNA of Alnus glutinosa, 519 nucleotides long. RefSeq lists it as uncharacterized. The record is from RefSeq and is a predicted model, not a curated record. NCBI's taxonomy places the organism in Eukaryota, Viridiplantae, Streptophyta, Magnoliopsida, Fagales, Betulaceae. The transcript has 2 exons.
CACAAAGCAAUCACAAUGAGAACACGGAUACUCUUCCGCCUUAUCUUUGCCUUUCUUUUCAUCUAUGGUGCUCACUCCGCUACAAUAACGGUAACAAACAAUUGUCCGUACACUAUUUGGCCGGGAGACUUGACAGCAAAUCAAAAACCUCAGUUAUCAAACACCGGAUUCAAGCUACCAUCCAAAGCAUCCACAUCACUGGAUGUCCAAGCUUCGUGGAUCGGCCGGUUUCACUUGUGCAACUGCUGAUUGUGGCUCCGGUCAGGUUUCAUGCAACGGCAACAAUGCAAUCCUGCCGGCGUAUUUGGUGGGAAUCGCUAUUGCAGCGAACGGUGAACAAGAUUUCUACGAUGUAAGCCUUGUAGACGGCUUCAACUUGCCUGUAUCAAUAGCUACACGGCUUCAAUAGCUAAGCCUUGUAACAACAUAUGCUGUCCAGAAUCUGUAUUGAGAAAGAAAAAAGAAUCAAAUAUGUUAAGUUAUCAAGGAUUUCUUUCUCAAGUAAAGGUCUUCAACUAA